AACUAAUCUCGUCUGUGGCCUCAAACUGGUUCUUAAGCUUUGUGGUCAGACUCCUGGAGAGUCUAUGAAGCGGCGGUCCCCAAGCUACGUCCCAUAUUUCAGAAGAAGCCUAACACUUCUCGUGAGCCUUCAGAAAGGCCAACCAUUAAACUAAUUUAUUAGGUUUCUUUGUUUGGGGCUGGAAUUAUCUCAACUCAGUAAGAAUGUGGGUGGCAGCUAGGUGCAAUAAUGAAAAAGGGAGGAAGAACAGGCUAACUUCUGUUUAUUUAACUAAAUUUUAUUUAAUAAGUAAAUCAGGAAAAUUUCUUUCCCAAAACGUAUCCGCUUCCUCACUGAGAAAUAAAAAGAUUCUGGGGGGUGAAAACCUUCCAUCUAGACAGAAGGCAGCUUAUUUCCUGUUGCAGUUCCAGACCUGACCACUAGAUGGUGCAAAGGGACCACACCACAGAGUUUGCAACCUCUCCCUCCACGAAAUCCUUUACCGUUAAUAAGCACAAUGAAAGCUUUCCAAAAGUAGAAAGAAUGAACAAUUGUGCUGGGACAUGAACAUUUUGCUUUUAUAAAAUUGGGACUCUGCCAUUUCAUUAUUGACACAAAAAUCUUCCGCCUCGCUUUCUUCCCACAUAUGCAGGUCCCAAAUCUACUCUCAUCUACUUGAAGGGGCCUGUAGAAGCCCGUGCAAAGUGGAUGCCCAAAAGUUGAAUUCGAAAAUUCUUUUUACCUUGCGCUGCCACACGUGUUUCCAUUAAUUUCACCUCAAUGUCGUGACGUAAAUGCUAGUGGAAUCGGCCCCAAGCUAAAUAAGCAAUGAGCCCCAUUUUUCAACACACAAACACAUAAAGAUGUCAGCUCAAACUGUUUACUAAUUAACACUUAAAAAGACACAAAUUAGAUAUGCGUGGCUAAGAGCAAUUAUAAUCAAGACGAAUUUCUCUAGUCAUUUGGGAACUGAGAAAAAUGCCUAAUUGCUGGAACCAAUGUUUUAAAAACUGAAAUGACGCCAGUUAGCAAAUAUGUUCAUUUAAAGAACAUUCCACGUGACUACACUCUUGAGGGUUGACUACAAACAUGAGAACAAGGAAAAUAUUUAGGUAUAAAAUUAAAAUUUUAAGCUCCCUCAGAUUUAUAACUUCUUCAUUAAAUACGUCUGCAGACAGCAGCCCAUAAAAACCUGUAGCAAUUAAGUGGUUAAAUGAACUGCCUCCCUUGUCAAUUUUAAGGGAGUGAUUAAUAUUAGAUCGUCCCUUUACUAAUUAGACUCUCCCGUGUCUUUCAGCUUUAAAGUCGGGUGAAAAUGGAGGCUGUGCGCCCUACAAGGAAGCACGGUGGGCUGAUAAAGCUUCCCUCGUCGUGCUCAGUUUUCAGUGUGGCGCCCACUGAAGGGAGGGGGCUGCUGCCUGGACUGUGGAGCUGGGACGCGUCUGCCUGCCUGUGACGGGGAAUCCAUCAGAUGGUGAAGUGGGUCAACUGCUUACAAGGGACAUAAAGAGCAGCAGAGACGGAGAAUAUUUAUACGUCCAUCUUCUCCGAGAGAAGAUGCUUCAUCACAGGGAUUGGCUGCAAAAUUACACUUUUCCUGACUCCUAAACAGAGACAACCUUUUGUCCGGGCAGCGGGAAGGACAGUAAGGCUUUCACUGGGACACGGUCCCCCAGGGCCACCACCACUCUCCUGCUGCUCAGCCCCAUGGGGGAGGGGCCUGGGCCAGAAAACCUCCCCAUCACUGCCACCGACACCUCCUGUGGCUGAGGGGAGAGGAGCAACAACUCACUUUCUCAUGCUUUGGACUAAUUUACACGGCAGAGGCCCUGCUCCCGGCCGGGGACGGACGUGGACGGCAGGGAAUAUGGCUGCUGGACAACAGGCUGGGCAGGAAGGAGGCUGGUGUCACCACUGAGCACCAGGAGAGUGAUGGCACUCAAGUGAGAAUUUCUUUAGUAAGCACCGCUUCGUCCACUGUCAACACCCACAGCUGAGAGUAGUUCUGAGUCGUGCGGAUUUGGCAUGCUACCCCAGGUAUCCAAACUCGCAAACUGUGCCCUCUCCACCCAACCACGUUGCCUCCACCGUGUACAUGGUCCACAUACGUCCCUGCAAACACCCGGUAUCUGCCCACCAACGUGGCGGGUGGCUCUAGUCCACACUGUUAGCCACACUGCCGGGGGGGGCGG
Molecule: long non-coding RNA, 2171 nt
Organism: Neofelis nebulosa (Clouded leopard)
Lineage: Eukaryota; Metazoa; Chordata; Mammalia; Carnivora; Felidae
Exons: 3
Source: RefSeq, a predicted model, not a curated record